AACGAACGCUGGCGGCAUGCCUAACACAUGCAAGUCGAACGAGACCUUCGGGUCUAGUGGCGCACGGGUGCGUAACGCGUGGGAACCUGCCCUUAGGUUCGGAAUAACUCCCCGAAAGGGGUGCUAAUACCGGAUAAUGUCUUCGGACCAAAGAUUUAUCGCCUUUGGAUGGGCCCGCUUUGGAUUAGCUAGUUGGUAGGGUAAAAGCCUACCAAGGCGACGAUCCAUAGCUGGUCUGAGAGGAUGAUCAGCCACACUGGGACUGAGACACGGCCCAGACUCCUACGGGAGGCAGCAGUGGCGAAUAUUGGACAAUGGGCGAAAGCCUGAUCCAGCAAUGCCGCGUGAGUGAUGAAGGCCUUAGGGUUGUAAAGCUCUUUUACCCGGGAUGAUAAUGACAGUACCGGGAGAAUAAGCUCCGGCUAACUCCGUG
This 433-nucleotide ribosomal RNA is filed under the name uncultured bacterium. RNAcentral describes it as "partial 16S ribosomal RNA". It matches the Rfam family "Bacterial small subunit ribosomal RNA", at positions 29 to 507 of the family's 1533-position model. The record is from RNAcentral.